RNAcentral lists this ribosomal RNA (497 nucleotides) under uncultured bacterium. Its description in RNAcentral is "partial 16S ribosomal RNA". It matches the Rfam family "Bacterial small subunit ribosomal RNA", at positions 28 to 507 of the family's 1533-position model. The record is from RNAcentral.
GAUGAACGCUGGCGGCGUGCCUAAUACAUGCAAGUCGAGCGAACGGACGAGAAGCUUGCUUUUCUGAUGUUAGCGGCGGACGGGUGAGGAACACGUGGAUAACCUACCUAUAAGACUGGGAUAACUUCGGGAAACCGGAACUAAUACCGGAUAAUAUUUUGAACCGCAUGUUUCAAAAGUGAAAGACGGUCUUGCUGUCACUUAUAGAUGGAUCCGCGCUGCAUUAGCUAGUUGGUAAGGUAACGGCUUACCAAGGCAACGAUGCAUAGCCGACCUGAGAGGGUGAUCGGCCACACUGGAACUGAGACACGGUCCCGACUCCUACGGGAGGCAGCAGUAGGGAAUCUUCCGCAAUGGGCGAAAGCCUGACGGAGCAACGCCGCGUGAGUGAUGAAGGUCUUCGGAUCGUAAAACUCUGUUAUUAGUGAAGAACAUAUGUGUAAGUAACUGUGCACAUCUUGACGGUACCUAAUCAGAAAGCCACGGCUAACUACGUG